AAGCAUAUAAGUAAGCGGAGGACAAGAAACUAAACAGGAUCCCCAUAGUAAUGGCGAAUGAACCGGGAUAAACUCAGCAUGGAAAUUGGGGCCUUUGGCUUUGACUUGUAAUCUGGUGAGGCAUUGCCAACAGAGGCGCAUAUGUAAGUCUCUUGGAAAAGAGCAUCAACGAAGGUGAGAGUCCUGAUUGUCAUGUGCAGCCCCCCUGUGCACGGUGUGCCUUCUAAGAGUCACGUUCCUUGGGAUUGGAGCGCAAAUUGGGUGGUAACUUUCAUCUGAAGUUAAACAAUGGUUUGGGACCGAUAGGAAACAAGUACCAUGAGGGAAAGGUGAAAAGGACUUUGGAAAGAGAGUUAAAAGUGCCUGAAAUUGCUGAAGGGGAAGCGAAUGGAACCAGUAGUGCUGGGUGAGAUUGUCACAUGCCACAAGGAUUGGUUGCUGCCACAACGCAAGUGUGAUGGCGAUGUGUGAAUUGCUAGUGUGUGGUGUGUCUUACCUAGUGGGUCAUUGUGGGUUUAUGCAUUAAGAUAAGUCAAAGCAAGCGGGAGCAAGUUUACGAGUUUGUGAAUGUGUGUUGUUAUGCUUGUGCGUAAGCUUUAGUGUUUGUCUGGCUGCAGGGCUGUCCAUCCUCAAGCAGGACUUGUGGUUGCGAUGAGCAUAACCUUCUGCACAGAUAUUGACGAAAGG
RNAcentral lists this ribosomal RNA (687 nucleotides) under Dinophysis acuta. RNAcentral's name for it is "LSU rRNA". It matches the Rfam family "Eukaryotic large subunit ribosomal RNA", at positions 36 to 636 of the family's 3401-position model. The record is from RNAcentral. Lineage: Eukaryota; Dinophyceae; Dinophysales; Dinophysaceae.